RNAcentral lists this unclassified non-coding RNA (281 nucleotides) under uncultured bacterium. Its description in RNAcentral is "partial contains 16S ribosomal RNA and 16S-23S ribosomal RNA intergenic spacer region". It matches the Rfam family "Bacterial small subunit ribosomal RNA", at positions 72 to 358 of the family's 1533-position model. The record is from RNAcentral.
GAGAUUUCGGUCUCUAGCGGCGGACAGGUGAGUAACACGUGGCUAACAUGCCUCAUAGAGGGGGAUAGCCUCCCGAAAGGGAGAUUAAUACCUCAUAACAUCAUGCGUUUGCAUGUAAGUAUGAUCAAAGGAGCAAUCCGCUAUGAGAUGGACCCGCGGUGCAUUAGCUAGUUGGUGAGGUAAUGGCUCACCAAGGCAAGGAUGGGUAGCGGACCUGAGAGGGUGAUCGCCCACACUGGGACUGACACACGGCCCAGAGACCUACGGGAGGCAGCAGUGGG